This 465-nucleotide ribosomal RNA is filed under the name uncultured bacterium. RNAcentral's name for it is "partial 16S ribosomal RNA". It matches the Rfam family "Bacterial small subunit ribosomal RNA", at positions 28 to 507 of the family's 1533-position model. The record is from RNAcentral.
GACGAACGCUGGCGGCGUGCUUAACACAUGCAAGUCGAACGGAAAGGCCCUGCUUGCAGGGUAUUCGAGUGGCGAACGGGUGAGUAACACGUGGGUGAUCUGCCCUGCACUUCGGGAUAAGCCUGGGAAACUGGGUCUAAUACCGGAUAGGAGCCAUUUUUAGUGUGAUGGUUGGAAAGUUUUUUCGGUGUAGGAUGAGCUCGCGGCCUAUCAGCUUGUUGGUGGGGUAAUGGCCUACCAAGGCGGCGACAGGUAGCCGGCCUGAGAGGGUGGACGGCCACAUUGGGACUGAGAUACGGCCCAGACUCCUACGGGAGGCAGCAGUGGGGAAUAUUGCACAAUGGGCGCAAGCCUGAUGCAGCGACGCCGCGUGGGGGAUGACGGCCUUCGGGUUGUAAACUCCUUUCGCUAGGGACGAAGCUUUUUGUGACGGUACCUAGAUAAGAAGCACCGGCUAACUACGUG